GUGCUGUAAUAAUUCACUAUGGUUAAUUGAUAAAGCAUCUUUUUAGACGUUAUCAUAUAAACCACUUAAAAAUUGGUUAGAUCAUUGUGUAUUAAUUUGUUAUGGUCACACAUGUUUCUUAUCUGCGGUAUUUCUUCAUUAAUAAAUCCUAGGAAUACAUGCUGUGAGUGACAUCUAUUCUGACCCAGAGAAAAGAAUUUGUUUGUUUUAAAUGUGUAGCAAGGUCAAGAAUGCCAUGUGUUGUAAAUCUUUGACUUUUAAUUAUAUCAACACAUAAAGCAUGCAAAAGAACUAGUAUGCGAUCACAUUUGUGAACUUCAAUUGAUUACUUUUAUUUGCCAGACGAAUAAAUUCUUUAAUUCUAUCCAAAGUUCCAUGAUAUUUUAUGACUCCACCCUCCCAAUAUCUGCAAUAAUUCUUUGCCAAAGUAUUACCGCUUUUCAACGCUUUAAAUUACCAAAUCAUUGUUAAUUAAAACACACAUACUCCCCCGUUUUCAAGUCUUUACAUACUAGUUUGCCUCAACCAAUAAAUGUACAAAUAUAUCUUAAGGUCAACUUUGUUGUUCCUCCGAGAUUUAAAAACAUUGUGUGUAUUUUAUCUAAUGGAAUAUAACAACUACGUGUAUAAUUAUACAUUAUAUCUGAGCUGCCUAAAUCACUUUACUCAUAAAAUUACAGCUACAG
RNAcentral lists this long non-coding RNA (686 nucleotides) under Mytilus galloprovincialis (Mediterranean mussel). Lineage: Eukaryota; Metazoa; Mollusca; Bivalvia; Mytilida; Mytilidae. The record is from RNAcentral.